Gorilla gorilla gorilla (western lowland gorilla) is the source of this 7366-nucleotide RNA transcript. It is a transcript of the gene named translocase of inner mitochondrial membrane 23, with no coding region annotated. The transcript is spliced from 7 exons. Lineage: Eukaryota; Metazoa; Chordata; Mammalia; Primates; Hominidae. The record is from RefSeq and is a predicted model, not a curated record.
GCCGCAAAGCGGAAGUGUGGCGCUUAACGGGAACCGGCGCCCGGAAGGUCAGAGUGUGAAGUAGGCGCUGGCAACGCGGGGUUACCCGCUGUUAUUGAGGAGUAACAGCUCUGCGGACCACCCAGGCUUGAGGCAGCGGCGGGAACCACUCGGUUUGCUGCGAUACCAUGGAAGGAGGCGGGGGAAGCGGCAACAAAACCACAGGGGGAUUGGCCGGCUUUUUCGGAGCCGGCGGAGCAGGUUACUCUCACGCGGAUUUGGCUGGCGUCCCGCUAACUGGUAUGAACCCUCUGUCUCCUUAUUUAAAUGUGGAUCCACGAUACCUCGUGCAGGAUACAGAUGAGUUUAUUUUACCUACCGGAGCUAAUAAAACCCGGGGCAGAUUUGAGCUGGCCUUCUUUACGAUUGGAGGGUGUUGCAUGACAGGGGCUGCGUUUGGUGCAAUGAAUGGUCUUCGGCUAGGAUUGAAGGAAACCCAGAACAUGGCCUGGUCCAAACCAAGAAAUGUACAGAUUUUGAAUAUGGUGACUAGGCAAGGGGCACUUUGGGCUAAUACUCUAGGUUCUCUGGCUUUGCUCUAUAGUGCAUUUGGUGUCAUCAUUGAGAAAACACGAGGUGCAGAAGAUGACCUUAACACAGUAGCAGCUGGAACCAUGACAGGCAUGUUGUAUAAAUGUACAGGUGAGUACUGUUGAAUGGGGAGCCAUCUCUUAAUACACUUGAAGUGCGCUUUUUAAAAUUCAUGGUUUUCAAGGAAAUUACACUCUGUUGCAGUAUAAUCUAGUGUUCUAACUUUAUGGUUAUUUUGGUUUGGUUUGGUUUUUAAUUGUGGUAAAAUAAACAUAAGAUUUACUCAUCUUAACCAUUUUUAAGUAUACAGUACAUUAGUAUUAUAGUCACAUGAUUAUAUAACCAAUCUCUGGAACUUUUUCAUCUUGCAAAACUGAUACUCUGUACCUAUUAAGCCUCCCAAUUUACCACUUCCUUAGCUCCUGAUAAUGUUACACUUUCUGUCUCUGAAUUAGCUGCUUUAGGCACCUCAUAUAAGUAGAAUCAUACAAUAUUUGUCCUUUUUUGAUUGGCUUAUUUUACGUAGCAUAAUAUCCUCAAGGUCAUCCAUGUUGUUGCAUGUGCCAGAAUUCCCUUCCUUUUUAAAGCUAAAUAAUACUCAUUCUGUGUAUGUAUACCACAUUUUGCAUGUGCAUUCUUUUAUCAAGGAAUAUUUGGGUUGCUUCUACGUUUUGGCUAUUGUGAAUAAUGCUGCUACAAAUAUGGAUGUACAAAUAUCUCUUCAAGGUCCUUCUUUCUUUUUUUGGAUAUAUGCGCAGAAGUGGGAUUCUUGGAUCAUAUGGUUUAUGGUGGUUUUUUGACAUUAAGAAUAUAAGAUUCUUUUCUGUAUUUUUCAUUCAUUUUAGUUUAGUUUUUUAAAUCUUGGACAGACUAAGCAAUAGAAUAUUCAGAAUUGUUGGUUUUGUUUUAAACAAUAGUUUGACCUGUGACAUCAGCAUAUUAAACUAUCACAAGACACACACAAGGUCAAAGCCCAGGAAUGACUUCCCUGUAAGUCAAUUUAUAGCAUCUUAUUCCUUUGAUCAUCUUACUCUACUGGGAGAUCAACAUGUUGCUGUCAAGGGUCAGAUAAUUCUCUUCUGUGAUAAGUUUUACUAGUUUAGAAGCAUACAUUCAAGUAAUGCCUAAUUUAGCUUUUUUAUUGUGUUGAUACAUCUUUGGCUACUUAAUUUUUAUUUUUAUCAAAAUAAUCCACAUACGUGAUUUUUUAAGUCAAGGUUUUUAUCUUAACAUCUAAAAGAUUUUAAUGAUGUUUAAUCCACAUACAUGAUUUUUUAAGUCAAGGUUUUUAUCUUGUUAACAUCUAAAAGAUUUUAAUGAUGUGCAACAGUGUUCUAUACGUCUCACCUUAAUUCCCUUUUCCCAAAGGCAACUUUUAAUUUUUUUUUUUUUUUUUUCUUUUUUGAGAUGGAGUCUUGCCUGGGCCACAGAGCAAGACUCCGUCUCAAAAAAAGAAAUGUUAUGAAAAAUUUGGAAAUAUUUGUCACUAGCUGUAUGACCUUUUGAAAAAGGUCCGCCUAAUACCAUGCUCAUCUAUAAAAUUGGGGUAUGAUGAUUAUCAAUUUACAGGAUUGUGGUGCAUUUUAAAUGAAACAAGUUCCAUUAAGUGCUUAUUGCUGAAGGUAUAAUUCAGUGAAUGUUCUUUCCUUUUCUUACAGCAGAGUUUGGUAUUUUAUUUUCACCUAAGCCAUUUUGGUUCAGUUCUUAAGGCUUUGAUUAUUUUUUUAAGUUGAAUGGUGUUUAGUGUGCCCAUGUUCAUAACAGCAUAUUAUUCACAACAGCCAUACAGGCUGGGUGUGGUAGCUCAUGUCUAUAAUCCCAGCACUUUGGGAAGCCAAUGUGGGCAGAUUGAGUCCAGGAGUGUAAGGGCAAUAUGGUGAAACCCUGUCUAUACAAAAAAUUAGCCAGUCUUGGUGGUGGGCACCUGUAGUCCCAAUUACUGGGAAGGCUGAGAUGGGAGAAUCACCUGAGCCCAGGAGGUCAAAGCUGCAGUGUGCCUUCAUUGUGCCACUGCAGUCUAGCCUGGGCGACAGAGUGAGACCCUGUGUCAAAAAAAAAAAAAAAAAAAAAAAAAAAGAUAGAUUCUAAGAGGCCAAGGCAGGAAAAUGGGCAGAUUGCUUGAGCCCAGGAGUUGGAGAUUAGCCUGGACAACAUAGCUACUAAAAAUACAAAAAAUGAGCUAAGCAUGGUGGUACAUGCUACUCCCGAGGCUGAGGUGGGAAGAUCACUUGAGCUUGGGGAGGUCAAGGCUGCAGUGAGCCGUGAUCAUGCCACUGCACUCCAGCCUAGGUGACCCUGUCUCAAAAAAAGAAAAAUGUGGUAUAUACAUAGAAUAGAAUAUUAUUCUGCCUUUAAAAAGGAAAUUCUGACAGAUGGUAAGACAUGGAUGAACUCUGAGUACAUUAUGCCGAAUAGGCCAUCUAUUAAAAAAAAAAGGUGUGAUUCUACUAAUGUGAGGUACUUAGAAUAGUCGGAUUCAUGUGAGGUACUUAGAAUAGUCAGAUUCAUACAGAAAAAAAGUAGAAUGGAAGAUGGCCGGGAUGGGUGUAGUUAUUGCUAAAUGGGCAGAGAGUUUCAGUUUUGCAAGAUGAAAAGAGUCCUCUGAAGAUAGAUGUUGGUACACGGAGCACCGUGGCUCACGCCUGUAGUCUCAACACUUUGGGAGGCUGAGGCAGGAGGAUUGUUUGAGCCCAGGAGUUCAAGACCACCCUAGGUAACAUAGGGAGACCUCAUCUCUACAAAAAAUUUAGCCUGGUAUGGUGGUGCAUGAUUGUAGUCCUACCUACUUAGGAGGUUGUUGUGGGAGGAUCACUUGAGCUCAGAAGGUCGAGGCUGCAGUGAGCCUUUACCACACCACUGCACUCCAGCCUGGGCGACAGAGCAAGACCCUGUCUCAGAAGAAAAAAUAAAGGAAAAGUAGAUGUUGGUAAUAGCACAGCCGUGUGAAUGUACUUAAUGCCUCUGAAAUGUACACUUAAAAAUGUUUAAGGUGGUAAAAUUUAUGUUACAUGUAUUGUACCAUAAUUCUUAAAAGAAUAAAGUUUUUUUAAAAUUUUAAGACAGCUGCUGACAGUCCUCAACAAUGGCAUUUAAUAGUCAUGUUAGUAGGUAGGUAAGGCUGUUCCUAUAGAACAGGAGCCACCAACUCCUGCUGGCCAGCUGCCUGUUUAUUUGCUGUGUGAAGGCUAAGAAUGUGUUUUACAUUUUUUAGUUACAUUUUAAAUGGUUAUAUAAGUACCUACAUAACAAUAGCUUUUGACCCUCAAAGCCCAAAAUGUUUACCAUCUGGCCCUUUUAAAAAAGAUACAUGUUAAUCUGUGCUUUAAAGUCAUUGUCAUUUGAAUGCAUUAGUUCUGCCACGAAUCAACCCUAUAUCCCACAAACAAGGCACUUAAAUAUUCUGGGCCUCAUUUUCUCAUGUAUAGAAGAGGUGGUGCUUGCCUAUCGCUUUGGAAGAACUACAUAAGGAUCCCAAAAUACAGGAGGUAAAACUGAAACACAAGUCAUAUUUGCUUUGCUUUAUAGAGAUUGACCAUUGGCCUUAUUUGGUUACUCUGUUCAAAGCAAGUACCUUUGCUUAUCAACUUCCUGUGCUUAGUUGUGUAGAGUUGUUUGAGUAAAGAAACCCUAGAGACCCUUAAACUUGCAAACAGAUCAACCAAUUGGGAAACCCUGGAAUUAAUGGAAACAGUUACAAUUAGAACAUGGCUGGUAUGUGGUAAAAGGCCACCCUUGAGUAAAGAUUAGCUAUGUGAUAAGUACAAACACCAAUGUUUAGUGUCUUGUUGGAGUUGAUUUUUUUUCUCUCUGGCUUUUAAGAAGUAACUUCAUUGACUUGAAUUAAGUUUUUGAUUCAUUUGGCAAGAAAAUAGAAAGCUUUUGGAGGAGUAAAUUAUUUAAUAUGUUACUGGUGUCCCAAAUAUCUUUUUUUUUUUUUUUUUUUUUUGAGACAGAGUCUUGCUGUAUCGCCGAGGCUAGAGUGCAGUGAUGCAAUCUUUGCUCACUGCAACCUCCACCCACCAGGUUCAAGCAAUUCUUUUGCUUCAGCCUCCCACAUAGCUGGGAUUACAGAUGCCUGCCACCACACCUGGCUAAUUUGUGUAUAUUUAAUAGAGAUGGGGUUUCACCAUGUUGGCCAGGCUGGUCUUGAACUCCUGACCUCAAGUGAUUUGCCCACCUUGGCCUUCCAAAGUGCUGGGAUUACAGGCCGUGAGCCACCAUGCCAGGCCUUUUUAAAAUUUUUUUUUAUUUUUUGAGACCAGGUCUGGCUUUGUUGCCCAGGCUGAAGUACAGUGGCACAAUCUUGGCUCACUGCAACCUCCACCUCCUAGGCUCAAGCAAUCCUCUCACCUCAUCCUCCCAAAUAUCUGGGACUACAGAUGCAUGCCACCAUGCCUAGCUAAUUCUUUACAUUUUUUUGUACAGAUGGGUAUCGGGGAACCUGCCCCGAUAGUCGCGUACGUUCUUUUCUAUUUUCCUUAAGCGUCAGCCGGCUUGAGAAAUAAAGGGACAGGGUACAAAAGAGACAAAUUUUAAAGCUGGGCAUCCGGGGGAGACAUCACAUGUAGGUAGGUUCCAUGAUGCCCCACAAGCCGCAAAAACCAGCAAGUUUUUAUUAGGGAUUUUCAAAAGGGGAGGGAGUGUGCGAAUAGGUGUGGGUCAGAGACAUCAAGUACUUCACAAGGUAAUAGAAUAUCACAAGGCAAAUGGAGGCAGGGCGAGAUCACAGGACUACAGGACCAGGGCGAAAAUAAAAUUGCUAAUGAAGUUUCGGGCACCAUUGUCAUUGAUAACAUCUUAUCAGGAGACAGGGUUUUGAGAGCAACCGGUCUGACCAAAAUUUAUUAGGCAGGAAUUUCCUCUUCCUAAUAAGCCUGGGAGCGCUAUGGGAGACUGGGGCCUAUUUCACCCCUACAAUCUACAGACCAUAAAAGAUGGCCACACCCAGGGGGGCCAUCUAUAGACCUAUACCCCCAGGCGUGUAUUCUCUUUCCCAGGGAUGUUCCUUGCUGAGAAAAAGAAUUCAGCGAUAUUUCUCCCAUUUGCUUUUGAAAGAACAACAAUAUGGCUCUGUUCCACCUGGCUCACUGGCGGUGAGAGUUUAAGGUUAUCUCUCUUAUUCCCUGAACAUUGCUGGUACCCUGUUCUUUUUUCAAGGUGCCCAGAUUUCAUAUUUGUUCAAACACACAUGCUCUACAAUUUGUGCGGUUAAUGCAAUUAUCACAUGGUCCUGAGACGACAUACAUCUUCCUUAGCUGACAGGAUUAAGAGAUUAAUGUAAAGACAGCGGCAUAGGAAAUCACAAGGGUAUUGAUUGGGGAAGUGAUAAGUGUCCAUGAAAUCUUCACAAUUUAUGUUUAGCAAUUGCAGUAAAGACAGGCAUAAGAAAUUAUAAAAGUAUUUGGGGAACUAAUAAAUGUCCAUGAAAUCUUCACAAUCCAUGUUCUUCUGCCAUGGCUUCAGCUGGUCCCUCCGUUUGAGGUCCCUGACUUCCCGCAACAGAUGGGGUCUCACCAUGUUGCCCACGCUGGUCUUGAACUCCUGGGCUCAAGCAGUCCACCCACCUUGGCCUUCCAAAGUGCUGGGAUUACAAGUGUGAGCCACCACGUCCAGCCCCCAAGUAUCUUAAAGCCUUAUAGAUUCCACUGUCACUAUGUUACCCCUAGUGCAUAUGCCAAAGAGGAUUCCCAGGGAAGCUUGUUAUUUGAUGGCUGAGAACUAAUGUGAGAAUCCUUCCACAAGGGCCAAGUAGAUACCAUGUUCUUAGAAUGCACAAAGCAAAGAACCAGCUAGAAGCAGUGGUUUUGCAGCUCUUUCCAAAGCCCAUGGACUGACUUCACAGUCCUGUGGAUUAUUGACUAUAGGUUCAGGGGAGUUAAUCUGAAGUUGAAUGUGUGGUUAUAGGAAAUAGUGUCUGCAAAAGUAUUGUGUUUUCAAUUACCGGCCCACCAGCAUUCUUCCACUGACAAACAGCAGUGAGGGCACCUUGGCUAUUGCUUGGUCUUACAUUCAGAAUGGGGUUUUGAGUUACUACAUUUUGGCUACCUGCUUGGAAGAAUCCUUAUUACACUCAAAAUUAGAUCUAAUAACUGAGCGAUAGCAAUGCUGUUGCAGAUACCUUUAGCAUUUAUUCUCCUGUGCCUCAUGGCUUAUUUUUUCCACAUUAGGAAUUUGGUCUAGUUCACUUUCAGCUCUGCAGCUUUUUACUGAUUUGCUAGGCAGAGACAUGAGGUCGAUCCUUAUUAAACUGAACAGAUUAUUUUGAGUAUACACUAUUUUCCAAUUAGUACAAUUUUUCAACCACAUUGAAUACAGUUGGAAGUUUAACUGCUGUGCCUACAGUCUGAAUAUGACAAGUUCACAAAGAGAUGAUGUGAACUUCAAGGAGAUACCUCAUGUUAUGCUUUUAGUGGGGUUUUUUUGGGUUUCUUAAAAAUGUUUUUGGUCCCCCUACAUGUUUGACAGCUGUUUAUAGAUAAUGUCUGCAGUUUCUGUUUGAGAGAGAUAAUUAUGAUACUUAGCAUUGGAAAACUAAGAAGAACGUAAGCAGGUCAGCUAUCAGAAGUCUUCAGACUGGAGAGAUUCCUGGAGGGGGAGUGGCCCUUUAAUCCAUCAGCUGAAGCCAUCUGGUAGGACACUCAUUGCAGAAAUGGUUAGUUCUGAAAUGUUGUAACUCAGCAACAUCACUGAAUGUCACAGAAUUGACAGGCACGGAGCUAAAAGGGCCUCUAGCCACCCCCACAACUCCGCUCUAUCUCUGUCUCCCUAACACAUGACUUGGAACAAAUACACUCUA